Molecule: transfer RNA, 76 nt
Filed under: Saprospiraceae bacterium
Lineage: Bacteria; Pseudomonadati; Bacteroidota; Saprospiria; Saprospirales; Saprospiraceae
Description: tRNA-His
Rfam family: tRNA
About the family: Transfer RNA (tRNA) molecules are approximately 80 nucleotides in length. Their secondary structure includes four short double-helical elements and three loops (D, anti-codon, and T loops). Further hydrogen bonds mediate the characteristic L-shaped molecular structure. tRNAs have two regions of fundamental functional importance: the anti-codon, which is responsible for specific mRNA codon recognition, and the 3' end, to which the tRNAs corresponding amino acid is attached (by aminoacyl-tRNA synthetases). tRNAs cope with the degeneracy of the genetic code in two manners: having more than one tRNA (with a specific anti-codon) for a particular amino acid; and 'wobble' base-pairing, i.e. permitting non-standard base-pairing at the 3rd anti-codon position.
Source: RNAcentral
GGAGAUUGUAGCUCAGUUGGUUAGAGCGUCGGAUUGUGGUUCCGAAGGUCGGGGGUUCGAGACCCCUCAUUCUCCC